CCUACGGGAGGCAGCAGUGAGGAAUAUUGGUCAAUGGGCGUAAGCCUGAACCAGCCAAGUCGCGUGAGGGAUGAAGGUUCUAUGGAUCGUAAACCUCUUUUAUAAGGGAAUAAAGUGCGGGACGUGUCCCGUUUUGUAUGUACCUUAUGAAUAAGGAUCGGCUAACUCCGUGCCAGCAGCCGCGGUAAUACGGAGGAUCCGAGCGUUAUCCGGAUUUAUUGGGUUUAAAGGGUGCGUAGGCGGCCUUUUAAGUCAGCGGUGAAAGUCUGUGGCUCAACCAUAGAAUUGCCGUUGAAACUGGGAGGCUUGAGUAUGUUUGAGGUAGGCGGAAUGCGUGGUGUAGCGGUGAAAUGCUUAGAUAUCACGCAGAACCCCGAUUGCGAAGGCAGCCUACCAAGCCAUGACUGACGCUGAUGCACGAAAGCGUGGGGAUCAAACAGGAUUAGAUACCCUAGUAGUC
Molecule: ribosomal RNA, 460 nt
Filed under: uncultured bacterium
Lineage: Bacteria
Description: partial 16S ribosomal RNA
Rfam family: Bacterial small subunit ribosomal RNA
Source: RNAcentral